The sequence is a small nuclear RNA, 79 nucleotides long. Its record names the gene U4. It matches the Rfam family "U4 spliceosomal RNA". Rfam says of the family: U4 small nuclear RNA (U4 snRNA) is a component of the major U2-dependent spliceosome. The structure of U4 snRNA from yeast and human has been reported. The record is from Ensembl.
AUUCUUUCGCAGUAGCAGUAUCGUAGCCUAUGAGGUCUAUCCGAGGCGUGAUUUUUGCUAGUUGAAAACUUUACCCAAU